This is an RNA transcript of Portunus trituberculatus (swimming crab), 1114 nucleotides long. RefSeq lists it as uncharacterized. NCBI's taxonomy places the organism in Eukaryota, Metazoa, Arthropoda, Malacostraca, Decapoda, Portunidae. The transcript is spliced from 3 exons. The record is from RefSeq and is a predicted model, not a curated record.
AAAAUGUAAAUAAUGCACCACCUUUCUCUUUGAUGAUAACUUAUCUUCGUCUUUUUCCUCAAUUCACACUUUCAUUCAUGUACUUCUAUUAAUUUUCAAACAUGAACGCUUUUCAUUGGUUCGUGAGCGCAGAUAUCAGCGCAGGUAUCAAUCCGCGAUGAAGGAUGAGGGUAACACGUGUACAGGUGCCCAGUCCUUACCCUGCACCCGCCAUGACACGCUGUGAAGACUGUGAUCUCGGCUUGCUGGAGUUUGCUGUCAAGUACAGCGGAAAGGUUGCGAAUUUGAUUGCUGGGAAAUCAUCGCUCCUGCGAUGCAAGUCAGUGUACAAUCGAGAAGAGGACCAGCCAGGACCUUCAUCCUUUCGUUAAGAGAGGUGAAGAGCAGGACCAUCAGCCAACACCACAUCAUCCAGGGCCUGUGAGUCAACAGACCACCACUCCAUCCACCUUACUGGGUGAUCUUAGCAUUGGUGAAGGUGAUGGUGAUAUCUUGCAUGGCUAUGUUGCUGAGACGUGUCAGAUCUGAGGUCCUUUCCACGUGUCUGUUGAGUAACAUGGGCAAGGGGCGGCGGUCGAAGGGGAAACCCAUGGGCUGGGCAUCAGGGUAGAGGGCAUCCAGAAUACCACAGAAUGAUGCAGCAGCAGAACAGGAACAGGCACCAUCAGGCUGUGCCACCUGAGGAGUCCCUCAUUGACUACUGUGUGCUGUGCUGCUGUUCACUCACCUGGUUCGCCUGGGUUCGGCUGCUUCUCCAGGUCACGGAAGGUGAAGUCAUUUGAGUUUGUGAUAGAUGAGGAGGUGGAGGAACGUAGAAUGUGGUUUGGGCCAGGCUUCACUGCAAGGAUAUAAUAAUAAUGAGAGAUAUAAAGGCAUGAAAGUACUACACUUGUCACAUUUAAAGUUGCACUUACUUUGCUCUACCAGUCACUACUUCACAUAAGUGGAUCUGAUGUAACUGUCUUGUCAACUAUUCCUCAGAGAUACAAGGAUAUGCUAUAGCUGUUGUGGCCUCAGUGCUCAUCUUCUUGGUCUUGGUGAAUUAUCAAGAAUAAUGGCAGGUAAAUUAUAUUAGUGUGAUUUUGUAAAAAGCUAAUGUGGAAUUUUUUAUAGC